RNAcentral lists this transfer RNA (73 nucleotides) under Myxococcales bacterium. Its description in RNAcentral is "tRNA-His". It matches the Rfam family "tRNA". Rfam says of the family: Transfer RNA (tRNA) molecules are approximately 80 nucleotides in length. Their secondary structure includes four short double-helical elements and three loops (D, anti-codon, and T loops). Lineage: Bacteria; Pseudomonadati; Myxococcota; Myxococcia; Myxococcales. RNAcentral also lists the same sequence under 1 other name. The record is from RNAcentral.
GCGAUCCUGGUGUAACGGUCCGCACAGGAGUCUGUGAAACUUCAGGUCCAGGGUUCGAGUCCCGGGGAUCGCC